UCUACGACUAUUUUUUUCAAUACCCUAGAAAACCCAGUUUCAAACUUCAACCGCCGCCUCCUCCGUCACUUCCUCUAAAACCCUAACCACGGUGACCACCUCUACCGUAAUUCUCAGUGGCCUCUCUUUAAAGUAGAAUAUCUUUUAUUAUUGUUUUUCCUCUCUGUAAGCAUCCUUGCCACCACUAUUGGCAGCAUCAUCACCGGCACCACAAAACCCUCACACAACACCAUCCCUAUUUUCUUCACCGUCACCAUUACUCACUACCUUCUCUGUAAACGUAAACCACCCUAAAUCUAAACUCCAUCCUCAUAUAAACUAUUAUCUACAAUACCAGUUUCUUUAACUUCCGCUUCCGCCUUACCGAUAUGAGUUUAUGAUUGAACAAAAGAGAUGGAUUUAUGGAUUUGAGUUAGAUCUUUGUAUAUGUGCGUUUGUUGUCCCCUUCACCACCAACGUUAUCUCCAUCACUCACGACCAUUGGUACUCUGUCAACCCUAGAUCUAAACCAUCUUGUCAUCGGUUUCGUUACUCUAUUCCCUCACCACCACAUCUGAACCCGACAAUAAUAUAUUUCUAAGCUCAAGGCUAAAGGCUGAAGGUUGAUAGUGGCUUAUAGACUCUUGAUUUUAUGAUCCAAGCUUGAUUUUUAUCUGGUUAAUGGUCUGUGUGGGUAGUCUGCUAAGUUCUGGAUAGAGUCGAAGUUUAAUGUAAUCUACAAGUUCAUGGAGAUUUAUUUGUACAUCUUUGUUUAUUUUUCAUUUAGCUGGUGUUGACCAAAUGGUUUUGGUUUCUCCAAAGUACAAGUUUUUUUUCUUUGCAGUGUAGUAUUUCUUACAGGUUUAGAAAAAUAUAUGAAUUUAGAAAUUUUCAGUUCA
Lactuca sativa (garden lettuce) is the source of this 878-nucleotide non-coding RNA. The record is from RefSeq and is a predicted model, not a curated record. NCBI's taxonomy places the organism in Eukaryota, Viridiplantae, Streptophyta, Magnoliopsida, Asterales, Asteraceae.